This 43-nucleotide small RNA is filed under the name Arabidopsis thaliana (thale cress). Its description in RNAcentral is "ATSL233180". Lineage: Eukaryota; Viridiplantae; Streptophyta; Magnoliopsida; Brassicales; Brassicaceae. The record is from RNAcentral.
CUUCUAGCUCAGCAUCUUCUUCAUCAUCACCAUCACCAUAAUG